This 257-nucleotide ribosomal RNA is filed under the name uncultured bacterium. Its description in RNAcentral is "partial 16S ribosomal RNA". It matches the Rfam family "Bacterial small subunit ribosomal RNA", at positions 524 to 778 of the family's 1533-position model. The record is from RNAcentral.
UACGUAGGGGGCAAGCGUUGUCCGGAUUUAUUGGGCGUAAAGAGCGUGUAGGCGGCCCUUACAGGUCAGCUGUGAAAACUCGAGGCUCAACCUCGAGACGUCGGUUGAAACCGUAAGGCUAGAGUCCGGAAGAGGAGAGUGGAAUUCCCGGUGUAGCGGUGAAAUGCGCAGAUAUCGGGAAGAACACCCGUGGCGAAGGCGGCUCUCUGGGACGGUACUGACGCGUGAUGUGCGAAAGCGUGGGGAGCAAACAGGAU